Oreochromis aureus is the source of this 606-nucleotide long non-coding RNA. The record is from Ensembl. NCBI's taxonomy places the organism in Eukaryota, Metazoa, Chordata, Actinopteri, Cichliformes, Cichlidae.
GGACAUUGAAAUGCACCGUGUAGAACGAAAGACCAUCGUACAAACAAAGACCCCAGCCAUGCACAAGUCAUCGGGAUCCUUGGCAGCAACAUCACCCUUCAAUUUACAUUCAACGUUAGCAUUACUGAAAACAGUCAAAUUGGAAUUUAUACAACAGACGAGAAAAAGAUUGAUGAUUUUAAAAGUGGGAAAAGUUCCUUUGAUAUUUACCCCCAAAAGAAUUCUGUAUUUUACCACAUCACAAAUCUCACUCUAAGCCACAGUAACACCUACUGGGCCAGUUUACUUGGUGUCAUCCCAAUAAAAAGUAAUGAAGUGCAGCUGUUCAUUGAAGAGAAGAAUACACACAGUACAGCCACUGAAACACCCGCUGAGCCUCCACAGUACAAUAGUAAUGCCAUCAUCACUGUUAUCCGUGUCUUCGCCUUCAUCACAUCUUUGGCCUUGGUUGUGGGAGUCUGCAAGAUCUACCAUCUGAAAUGCAUCAAGUCCAGAAACUAAACAGCCACAGAUGGUUAACAGAAGAAAGACGAGACUGAUGGAGCAGAUCCGUGUGUCGUAUACUUUCACACUGGCAUCAAGUUCAUAAAUAACAUAAUGAUUUAU